GACGAACGCUGGCGGCGUGCUUAACACAUGCAAGUCGAACGGAAAGGCCCUGCUUUUGUGGGGUGCUCGAGUGGCGAACGGGUGAGUAACACGUGAGUAACCUGCCCUUGACUUUGGGAUAACUUCAGGAAACGGGGGUUACUACCGGAUAGGAGCCCCGCCUGCAUGGGGGGGGUUGGAAAGUUUCGGCGGUUGGGGAUGGACUCGCGGCUUAUCAGCUUGUUGGUGGGGUAGUGGCUUACCAAGGCUUUGACGGGUAGCCGGCCUGAGAGGGUGACCGGCCACAUUGGGACUGAGAUACGGCCCAGACUCCUACGGGAGGCAGCAGUGGGGAAUAUUGCACAAUGGGCGGAAGCCUGAUGCAGCAACGCCGCGUGCGGGAUGACGGCCUUCGGGUUGUAAACCGCUUUCGCCUGUGACGAAGCGUGAGUGACGGUAAUGGGUAAAGAAGCACCGGCUAACUACGUG
Molecule: ribosomal RNA, 468 nt
Filed under: uncultured bacterium
Lineage: Bacteria
Description: partial 16S ribosomal RNA
Rfam family: Bacterial small subunit ribosomal RNA
Source: RNAcentral